Molecule: ribosomal RNA, 469 nt
Filed under: uncultured bacterium
Lineage: Bacteria
Also listed under: 1 other name
Description: bacterial SSU rRNA
Rfam family: Bacterial small subunit ribosomal RNA
Source: RNAcentral
AAUGCAUGCAAGUCGAACGGGAACCUUUCCACUCGUCUGAAGGUGAGAGUGGCGAACGGGUGAGUAACACGUUGGUGACCUACCCCACAGAGGGGGAUAACCAUUGGAAACGAUGGCUAAUACCCCAGAUGUCAUUACUGUUAGAGGGUAAUGACUAAAGCUCCGGCGCUCUGGGAGGGGCCUGCGGCCCAUCAACUGGUUGGCAGUGGUAAUGGCCUACCAAGGCAAAAACUGGUAUGGGGCGUGAGAGCGUGACCCCCCACACUGGUACUGACACACGGACCNUAUACCUACCGGUAGCAGCAGAAGGAAUAUUGCCCAAUGGACGCAAGUUCUGAGGCACCAACGCCCUGUGGAGGAUGAANGCCUUCGGUUGUAAACUCCCUCUCUGGGGGAACAAAAACGACGGUUCCCCCNCNAAUAAGUCUGGGUAACUUCCUUCCACCACCCCGCUGUAAAACGAUGAGGC